This 552-nucleotide ribosomal RNA is filed under the name uncultured bacterium. RNAcentral describes it as "bacterial SSU rRNA". It matches the Rfam family "Bacterial small subunit ribosomal RNA", at positions 147 to 710 of the family's 1533-position model. The record is from RNAcentral.
CUCCUGGAAACGGGUGGUAAUGCCGGAUGCUCCAGAUGACCGCAUGGGAUUCUGGGAAAGCUUUUGCGGCAUGGGAUGGGGUCGCGUCCUAUCAGCUUGUUGGUGGGGUGAUGGCCCACCAAGGCUUCGACGGGUAGCCGGCCUGAGAGGGCGACCGGCCACAUUGGGACUGAGAUACGGCCCAGACUCCUACGGGAGGCAGCAGUGGGGAAUAUUGCACAAUGGGCGCAAGCCUGAUGCAGCGACGCCGCGUGCGGGAUGACGGCCUUCGGGUUGUAAACCGCUUUUGACUGGGAGCAAGCCCUUCGGGGUGAGUGUACCUUUCGAAUAAGCACCGGCUAACUACGUGCCAGCAGCCGCGGUAAUACGUAGGGUGCAAGCGUUAUCCGGAAUUAUUGGGCGUAAAGGGCUCGUAGGCGGUUCGUCGCGUCCGGUGUGAAAGUCCAUCGCUUAACGGUGGAUCUGCGCCGGGUACGGGCGGGCUGGAGUGCGGCAGGGGAGACUGGAAUUCCCGGUGUAACGGUGGAAUGUGUAGAUAUCGGGAAGAACACC